GAACGCUGGCGGCGUGCCUAAUACAUGCAAGUCGAACGCACAGCGAAAGGUGCUUGCACCUUUCAAGUGAGUGGCGAACGGGUGAGUAACACGUGGAUAACCUACCUCAAGGUUGGGGAUAACAUUUGGAAACAGAUGCUAAUACCGAAUAAAACUUAGUAUCGCAUGAUACAAGGUUAAAAGGCGCUACGGCGUCACCUAGAGAUGGAUCCGCGGUGCAUUAGUUAGUUGGUGGGGUAAAGGCCUACCAAGACAAUGAUGCAUAGCCGAGUUGAGAGACUGAUCGGCCACAUUGGGACUGAGACACGGCCCAAACUCCUACGGGAGGCUGCAGUAGGGAAUCUUCCACAAUGGGCGAAAGCCUGAUGGAGCAACGCCGCGUGUGUGAUGAAGGCUUUCGGGUCGUAAAGCACUGUUGUAUGGGAAGAACAGCUAGAGUAGGGAAUGACUUUAGUUUGACGGUACCAUACCAGAAAGGGACGGCUAAAUACGUGCCAGCAGCCGCGGUAAUACGUAUGUCCCGAGCGUUAUCCGGAUUUAUUGGGCGUAAAGCGAGCGCAGACGGUUGAUUAAGUCUGAUGUGAAAGCCCGGAGCUCAACUCCGGAAAGGCAUUGGAAACUGGUCAACUUGAGUGCAGUAGAGGUAAGUGGAACUCCAUGUGUAGCGGUGGAAUGCGUAGAUAUAUGGAAGAACACCAGCGGCGAAGGCGGCUUACUGGACUGUAACUGACGUUGAGGCUCGAAAGUGUGGGUAGCAAACAGGAUUAGAUACCCUGG
This 777-nucleotide ribosomal RNA is filed under the name uncultured Leuconostoc sp. Its description in RNAcentral is "bacterial SSU rRNA". It matches the Rfam family "Bacterial small subunit ribosomal RNA", at positions 31 to 790 of the family's 1533-position model. The record is from RNAcentral. Lineage: Bacteria; Bacillati; Bacillota; Bacilli; Lactobacillales; Lactobacillaceae.